This 256-nucleotide ribosomal RNA is filed under the name uncultured bacterium. Its description in RNAcentral is "partial 16S ribosomal RNA". It matches the Rfam family "Bacterial small subunit ribosomal RNA", at positions 96 to 354 of the family's 1533-position model. The record is from RNAcentral.
CGGCGACGGGUGAGUAACGCGUGGGCAACCUGCCUUACACAGGGGGAUAACAGUUAGAAAUGACUGCUAAUACCGCAUAAGACCGCAGUACCGCAUGGUACAGCGGUAAAAACUCCGGUGGUGUAAGAUGGGCCCGCGUCUGAUUAGGUAGUUGGCGGGGUAACGGCCCACCAAGCCGACAUCAGUAGCCGACCUGAGAGGGUGACCGACCACAUUGGGACUGAGACACGGCCCAAACUCCUACGGAAGGCAGCAG